GCCCGGGUGGUGGAAUUGGUAGACACGCAGGACUUAAAAUCCUGUUCCUAUUGCUGGAGUGCGGGUUCGAUUCCCGCCCCGGGUA
This 85-nucleotide transfer RNA is filed under the name Saprospiraceae bacterium. RNAcentral describes it as "tRNA-Leu". It matches the Rfam family "tRNA". Rfam says of the family: Transfer RNA (tRNA) molecules are approximately 80 nucleotides in length. Their secondary structure includes four short double-helical elements and three loops (D, anti-codon, and T loops). Further hydrogen bonds mediate the characteristic L-shaped molecular structure. tRNAs have two regions of fundamental functional importance: the anti-codon, which is responsible for specific mRNA codon recognition, and the 3' end, to which the tRNAs corresponding amino acid is attached (by aminoacyl-tRNA synthetases). tRNAs cope with the degeneracy of the genetic code in two manners: having more than one tRNA (with a specific anti-codon) for a particular amino acid; and 'wobble' base-pairing, i.e. permitting non-standard base-pairing at the 3rd anti-codon position. Lineage: Bacteria; Pseudomonadati; Bacteroidota; Saprospiria; Saprospirales; Saprospiraceae. RNAcentral also lists the same sequence under 1 other name. The record is from RNAcentral.